Molecule: non-coding RNA, 511 nt
Organism: Electrophorus electricus (electric eel)
Lineage: Eukaryota; Metazoa; Chordata; Actinopteri; Gymnotiformes; Gymnotidae
Source: RefSeq, a predicted model, not a curated record
UCUCGCCCUUGAAUGAAUUCUGUGGCCCCAUCCUCAGACAAUGGACUGAGAUCUUACAAGAUAAUGCAAGAAAAGAGUUUGUUGGAAUCCUGAUGUCAUUUCAUGGGGACAUGUGCAGAUAUACACAAAAGCAGUGUCAAUAAAAAUACGGAAUCUACACCACAUCUGAGUAAUUUGAGAUAAAGGAGUUGUCAGGACUGGCCAGGAAGAGUACCUCAAACCUUUGUGCUGAUUUACUACAGCUGCUUAUGUAUGUUGCCCCAGAAGAGAUAUUCCUAUGACGUUUUGUGGAAGGACUUAAAAAGUAACAAUGAAUGUUUUCAACCACUAGAUGGCAGAUGAUGACUGUGUUUGCCUCCUUCCUCACUGAAAUACCUGGCAUUCUAAAAGCUGUCGCAUUCUUUCAUAAAUGAAAUAAUGCUAUUUUGAUACCCAUGUUUAAUACUGCAAUCUGAACUAUAUGGCAUCUGUUUCUCUGUAACUUUAAACCUGAAUAAAAUCUGAAAGAAUA